ACUCAAAUGAAUUGACGGGGACCCGCACAAGCGGUGGAUGAUGUGGAUUAAUUCGAUGCAACGCGAAAAACCUUACCUACCCUUGACAUGGCAGGGACCCUCUAGAGAUAGGGGGGUGCCCGAAAGGGAACCUGCACACAGGUGCUGCAUGGCUGUCGUCAGCUCGUGUCGUGAGAUGUUGGGUUAAGUCCCGCAACGAGCGCAACCCUUGUCUCCAGUUGCUACGGCAACGGGCACUCUGGAGAGACUGCCGGUGACAAACCGGAGGAAGGUGGGGAUGACGUCAAGUCCUCAUGGCCCUUAUGGGUAGGGCUUCACACGUCAUACAAUGGCCGGUACAGAGGGUUGCCAACGCGCGAGCGGGAGCCAAUCCCAUAAAGCCGGUCGUAGUCCGGAUUGCAGUCUGCAACUCGACUGCAUGAAGUCGGAAUCGCUAGUAAUCGCGGAUCAGCAUGUCGCGGUGAAUACGUUCCCGGGUCUUGCACACACCGCCCGU
Molecule: ribosomal RNA, 496 nt
Filed under: uncultured bacterium
Lineage: Bacteria
Description: partial 16S ribosomal RNA
Rfam family: Bacterial small subunit ribosomal RNA
Source: RNAcentral